CCGGAGAGGGAGCCUGAGAAACGGCUACCACAUCCAAGGAUGGCAGCAGGCGCGCAAAUUACCCAAUCCCGACACGGGGAGGUAGUGACAAUAAAUAACAAUACGGGGUUCUUUAGGAUCUCGUAAUUGGAAUGAGUACAAUUUAAAUCUCUUAACGAGGAACAAUUGGAGGGCAAGUCUGGUGCCAGCAGCCGCGGUAAUUCCAGCUCCAAUAGCGUAUAUUAAAGUUGUUGCAGUUAAAAAGCUCGUAGUUGAAUUUCGGGGUUAGUAGGUUGGUCAUGCCUCUGGUAUGUACUGGUCUCACUGAUUCCUCCUUCCUUAUGAACCGUAAUGCCAUUAAUUUGGUGUUGCGGGGAAUUUGGACUGUUACUUUGAAAAAAUUAGAGUGUUUAAAGCAAGCUAACGCUUGAAUACAUUAGCAUGGAAUAAUGAAAUAGGACGUUCGAUCUUAUUUUGUUGGUUUCUAGGAUUGACGUAAUGAUUAAUAGGGAUAGUUGGGGGCAUUAGUAUUCAAUUGUCAGAGGUGAAAUUCUUGGAUUUAUUGAAGACUAACUACUGCGAAAGCAUUUGCCAAGGAUGUUUUNNNUAAUCAAGAACGAAAGUUAGGGGAUCGA
Molecule: ribosomal RNA, 614 nt
Filed under: uncultured fungus
Lineage: Eukaryota; Fungi
Description: SSU rRNA
Rfam family: Eukaryotic small subunit ribosomal RNA
Source: RNAcentral